CUUAAAAAUAACCCCCUCCCUGUCAAUCACGAGGAGGAGCUUGCAGAGGAGCCAAGUUCUGCUGGGGAUGGCUUGGCUUAGGACAAUGUCAGAAGGGCCUCAAGGCAAUCAGCAGCCGCUGCACUUGGAGCCUACCCCAAGCUCUUAUCAGCCUAGGCAAGCCCCUGCCCAAAGCCUGCUCUCCUCAGAGACUUCCGCCCCAGCCGGCAUCUGUUUCCUUUCCUAUAUUUAAACAACCGGGUAAGUGAACUUGCGAGAGCAUUUCUUUUUUAAUCUUUUUUUAUUUUUUUUAGUUGUUG
Molecule: long non-coding RNA, 299 nt
Filed under: Marmota monax (woodchuck)
Lineage: Eukaryota; Metazoa; Chordata; Mammalia; Rodentia; Sciuridae
Source: RNAcentral